Molecule: non-coding RNA, 73 nt
Organism: Parelaphostrongylus tenuis
Lineage: Eukaryota; Metazoa; Nematoda; Chromadorea; Rhabditida; Metastrongylidae
Source: the annotation of a GenBank genome assembly
ACGUCGUUGGUGCAGUGGUAAGCGUACGCCCCCUGGAAAGAGUGAGAUCUGGGUUCGAAUCCCGGCUGAUGCA